Molecule: long non-coding RNA, 363 nt
Organism: Cyprinus carpio (common carp)
Lineage: Eukaryota; Metazoa; Chordata; Actinopteri; Cypriniformes; Cyprinidae
Exons: 4
Source: RefSeq, a predicted model, not a curated record
AACCAGACUCAACAUCUGGACAUCACUCAACUCUGUCACACAUGUGAAGGGCUACCUUUACUUCUCAUAGUGCUGAUCUCUGCGGCUGCGUCUAGUUUUCUGCUGAUAGUAGCUGCAGUCAUUGGGAUCAUCUGCACCUGCAAGAAACCAAGAAAAACCGUCCAGAGACAGAAGGAAGACGGAAGUGAUUCAGCAUUGUGUAAACCAAAAACACGACAAAAGAAAUCGAAGAAGGAGACUGUGUAUGAAAAUGUUCCCAAAAAAAAGAAGAUCAAAUCCUGUAACUAAUGGAAACGAGUUCCUGCAGGUCCCUGCCUCACGCUUUUGGUUUGGCUACUGUCUUCCAAGAUAUGUCUGCUUUGU